This 462-nucleotide long non-coding RNA is filed under the name Mytilus galloprovincialis (Mediterranean mussel). Lineage: Eukaryota; Metazoa; Mollusca; Bivalvia; Mytilida; Mytilidae. The record is from RNAcentral.
GCCCUAAUUGACCUUUCCCUUGAAAAUCGAUAAAGCGAAGGUUUGUUUUGUCAACAUGAUCCCAUGGUAAUGCUCAUGUUUUUCUAAUGUUGUCUCGUGCUCAUCAACCCAAAAUGCAUACAUGUAAUACCAAUAUUGAAAUAUAAAUAUAAAAACAUAUCCACAUUUUGGUUAUUAUGGGUGGGAGAGGGAGGAACUUAUCAAGAACCUCAUCAACCCAAACAGGCAAAUUGUAUUGCCUGACCAAACAUAGCCCUUAAACCAACCACCACUUGGAUAUUGAAAGAAUGAGGAUGUAUCACAUGUACUUCCGCCAAAGAUAUCAACCAAUGAGGUUAUACACAUAUCCUCAGUGAUUGAUAUAAUCUUGCAUCCAGUUCAUGUUAAGUUAUGGGCAUAGAAAACUCUAUAGUCCAUACAGCAUAUUUGCAGGCCAAUCUCAAAAUACACCACUAGCAAGGC